Molecule: ribosomal RNA, 484 nt
Filed under: uncultured bacterium
Lineage: Bacteria
Description: partial 16S ribosomal RNA
Rfam family: Bacterial small subunit ribosomal RNA
Source: RNAcentral
AUUGAACGCUGGCGGCAUGCUUUACACAUGCAAGUCGAACGGCAGCGCGGGCUUCGGCCUGGCGGCGAGUGGCGAACGGGUGAGUAAUGCAUCGGAACGUGCCCAGUAGUGGGGGAUAGCCCGGCGAAAGCCGGAUUAAUACCGCAUACGACCUGAGGGUGAAAGCGGGGGACCGAAAGGCCUCGCGCUAUUGGAGCGGCCGAUGUCGGAUUAGCUAGUUGGUGGGGUAAAGGCUUACCAAGGCGACGAUCCGUAGCUGGUCUGAGAGGACGACCAGCCACACUGGGACUGAGACACGGCCCAGACUCCUACGGGAGGCAGCAGUGGGGAAUUUUGGACAAUGGGGGCAACCCUGAUCCAGCCAUGCCGCGUGCGGGAAGAAGGCCUUAGGGUUGUAAACCGCUUUUGUUCGGGAAGAAAUCCUCUGGGCUAAUACCCCGGGGGGAUGACGGUACCGGAAGAAUAAGCACCGGCUAACUACGUG